RNAcentral lists this ribosomal RNA (484 nucleotides) under uncultured bacterium. Its description in RNAcentral is "partial 16S ribosomal RNA". It matches the Rfam family "Bacterial small subunit ribosomal RNA", at positions 30 to 507 of the family's 1533-position model. The record is from RNAcentral.
AUUGAACGCUGGCGGCAGGCCUAACACAUGCCAGUCGAGCGGAUGAAGGGAGCUUGCUCCUGGAUUCAGCGGCGGACGGGUGAGUAAUGCCUAGGAAUCUGCCUGGUAGUGGGGGAUAACGUCCGGAAACGGGCGCUAAUACCGCAUACGUCCUGAGGGAGAAAGUGGGGGAUCUUCGGACCUCACGCUAUCAGAUGAGCCUAGGUCGGAUUAGCUAGUUGGUGGGGUAAAGGCCUACCAAGGCGACGAUCCGUAACUGGUCUGAGAGGAUGAUCAGUCACACUGGAACUGAGACACGGUCCAGACUCCUACGGGAGGCAGCAGUGGGGAAUAUUGGACAAUGGGCGAAAGCCUGAUCCAGCCAUGCCGCGUGUGUGAAGAAGGUCUUCGGAUUGUAAAGCACUUUAAGUUGGGAGGAAGGGCAGUAAGUUAAUACCUUGCCGUUUUGACGUUACCAACAGAAUAAGCACCGGCUAACUUCGUG